GCACUCUUAUUUGUCCCUUCAAGAUGCCUUUCCACCUCCCUCCCAUUGCCCUGGAAACCAGUCUUUGUCAUCCAAGCAGAGCCCUCCUGAAAGCUUACCAGAGCACAAGUCAAGAACCACUUGAUGCAAGUAUGUAAGAUCAGAUAAGAAGACAAUCAGUAGGGUGCCCCAGGCUACUCUAGCAUUUUGUCAAACUGAUAGAAAUCUGCUUUCAGUUGUAAUAAAGGAUGUCUUGGACCCUGAAA
This is a long non-coding RNA of Sphaerodactylus townsendi, 245 nucleotides long. RefSeq lists it as uncharacterized. NCBI's taxonomy places the organism in Eukaryota, Metazoa, Chordata, Lepidosauria, Squamata, Sphaerodactylidae. The transcript has 2 exons. The record is from RefSeq and is a predicted model, not a curated record.